This 271-nucleotide ribosomal RNA is filed under the name uncultured archaeon. RNAcentral's name for it is "partial 16S ribosomal RNA". It matches the Rfam family "Bacterial small subunit ribosomal RNA", at positions 524 to 794 of the family's 1533-position model. The record is from RNAcentral.
UACGGAGGGUGCAAGCGUUGUCCGGAAUCAUUGGGCGUAAAGCGCGUGUAGGUGGUUCAAUAAGUCUGCUGUGAAAGUCCAGGGCUCAACCCUGGGAUGCCGGUGGAUACUGUUGGACUAGAGUUCGGAAGAGGCGAGUGGAAUUCCUGGUGUAGCGGUGAAAUGCGCAGAUAUCAGGAGGAACACCAAUUGCGAAGGCAGCUCGCUGGUACGACACUGACACUGAGACGCGAAAGCGUGGGGAGCAAACAGGAUUAGAAACCCCGGUAGU